Molecule: long non-coding RNA, 339 nt
Organism: Epinephelus moara (kelp grouper)
Lineage: Eukaryota; Metazoa; Chordata; Actinopteri; Perciformes; Serranidae
Exons: 2
Source: RefSeq, a predicted model, not a curated record
GCUUUACUGCAGAAUUCCGAGGCUUGCAGCCAGCAGCGUCGCGAGUCUCUAGGCUGAAAUUUUAUAUAAAUGGACGCACAAGGUGGAGCACCUGCUUAACAACCUAUAAGAACAUGCACAUCUGUGCGCGCCAUCCCACUGCCUGCAUCUGCGGUGCAGGCCUAAUGACUGUGAUUGGAGGAGAAAGAAGACACUCCCCUGGGUGAAUGGACGAGAGCUGAGACUCAGCACAACGUGCCUGGAUUAAGAGGACUCUCAUGUUGCUGGGCAUGUUAAAUAAUGACCAUUGUUUCUGUUAACACAAGCAUUAAAAAUAAAAAUAAAGAGAAAACGAAAGGA